This 249-nucleotide ribosomal RNA is filed under the name uncultured bacterium. RNAcentral describes it as "partial 16S ribosomal RNA". It matches the Rfam family "Bacterial small subunit ribosomal RNA", at positions 1252 to 1500 of the family's 1533-position model. The record is from RNAcentral.
AAGCCGCGAGGUAGAGCAAAUCUCAAAAAAACAAUCUCAGUUCAGACUGCAGGCUGCAACUCGCCCGCACGAAGUCGGAAUUGCUAGUAAUCGUAGGUCAGCAUACUACGGUGAAUACGUUCCCGGGCCUUGUACACACCGCCCGUCAAACCAUGAGAGUUGGCAACACCCGAAGUCGGUAGUCUAACCGCAAGGAGGACGCCGCCGAAGGUGGGGUUGAUGAUUAGGGUUAAGUCGUAACAAGGUACC